GGGUUGUGAGGUUAAGCGACUAAGCGUACACGGUGGAUGCCCUGGCAGUCAGAGGCGAUGAAGGACGUGCUAAUCUGCGAUAAGCGUCGGUAAGGUGAUAUGAACCGUUAUAACCGGCGAUUUCCGAAUGGGGAAACCCAGUGUGUUUCGACACACUAUCAUUAACUGAAUCCAUAGGUUAAUGAGGCGAACCGGGGGAACUGAAACAUCUAAGUACCCCGAGGAAAAGAAAUCAACCGAGAUUCCCCCAGUAGCGGCGAGCGAACGGGGAGCAGCCCAGAGCCUGAAUCAGUGUGUGUGUUAGUGGAAGCGUCUGGAAAGGCGCGCGAUACAGGGUGACAGCCCCGUACACAAAAAUGCACAUAUUGUGAGCUCGAUGAGUAGGGCGGGACACGUGGUAUCCUGUCUGAAUAUGGGGGGACCAUCCUCCAAGGCUAAAUACUCCUGACUGACCGAUAGUGAACCAGUACCGUGAGGGAAAGGCGAAAAGAACCCCGGCGAGGGGAGUGAAAAAGAACCUGAAACCGUGUACGUACAAGCAGUGGGAGCACGCUUAGGCGUGUGACUGCGUACCUUUUGUAUAAUGGGUCAGCGACUUAUAUUCUGUAGCAAGGUUAACCGAAUAGGGGAGCCGAAGGGAAACCGAGUCUUAACUGGGCGUUAAGUUGCAGGGUAUAGACCCGAAACCCGGUGAUCUAGCCAUGGGCAGGUUGAAGGUUGGGUAACACUAACUGGAGGACCGAACCGACUAAUGUUGAAAAAUUAGCGGAUGACUUGUGGCUGGGGGUGAAAGGCCAAUCAAACCGGGAGAUAGCUGGUUCUCCCCGAAAGCUAUUUAGGUAGCGCCUCGUGAAUUCAUCUCCGGGGGUAGAGCACUGUUUCGGCAAGGGGGUCAUCCCGACUUACCAACCCGAUGCAAACUGCGAAUACCGGAGAAUGUUAUCACGGGAGACACACGGCGGGUGCUAACGUCCGUCGUGAAGAGGGAAACAACCCAGACCGCCAGCUAAGGUCCCAAAGUCAUGGUUAAGUGGGAAACGAUGUGGGAAGGCCCAGACAGCCAGGAUGUUGGCUUAGAAGCAGCCAUCAUUUAAAGAAAGCGUAAUAGCUCACUGGUCGAGUCGGCCUGCGCGGAAGAUGUAACGGGGCUAAACCAUGCACCGAAGCUGCGGCAGCGACGCUGAUGCGUUGUUGGGUAGGGGAGCGUUCUGUAAGCCUGUGAAGGUGCGCUGUGAGGCAUGCUGGAGGUAUCAGAAGUGCGAAUGCUGACAUAAGUAACGAUAAAGCGGGUGAAAAGCCCGCUCGCCGGAAGACCAAGGGUUCCUGUCCAACGUUAAUCGGGGCAGGGUGAGUCGACCCCUAAGGCGAGGCCGAAAGGCGUAGUCGAUGGGAAACAGGUUAAUAUUCCUGUACUUGGUGUUACUGCGAAGGGGGGACGGAGAAGGCUAUGUUGGCCGGGCGACGGUUGUCCCGGUUUAAGCGUGUAGGCUGGUUUUCCAGGCAAAUCCGGAAAAUCAAGGCUGAGGCGUGAUGACGAGGUACUACGGUGCUGAAGCAACAAAUGCCCUGCUUCCAGGAAAAGCCUCUAAGCAUCAGGUAACAUCAAAUCGUACCCCAAACCGACACAGGUGGUCAGGUAGAGAAUACCAAGGCGCUUGAGAGAACUCG
This 1668-nucleotide ribosomal RNA is filed under the name Escherichia coli. RNAcentral's name for it is "partial 23S ribosomal RNA". It matches the Rfam family "Bacterial large subunit ribosomal RNA", at positions 1 to 1702 of the family's 2925-position model. Lineage: Bacteria; Pseudomonadati; Pseudomonadota; Gammaproteobacteria; Enterobacterales; Enterobacteriaceae. The record is from RNAcentral.